GUAAUGUCUGGGAAACUGCCUGAUGGAGGGGGAUAACUACUGGAAACGGUGGCUAAUACCGCAUAACGUCGCAAGACCAAAGAGGGGGACCUUCGGGCCUCUUGCCAUCAGAUGUGCCCAGAUGGGAUUAGCUUGUUGGUGAGGUAACGGCUCACCAAGGCGACGAUCCCUAGCUGGUCUGAGAGGAUGACCAGCCACACUGGAACUGAGACACGGUCCAGACUCCUACGGGAGGCAGCAGUGGGGAAUAUUGCACAAUGGGCGCAAGCCUGAUGCAGCCAUGCCGCGUGUAUGAAGAAGGCCUUCGGGUUGUAAAGUACUUUCAGCGGGGAGGAAGGUGUUGUGGUUAAUAACCGCAGCAAUUGACGUUACCCGCAGAAGAAGCACCGGCUAACUCCGUGCCAGCAGCCGCGGUAAUACGGAGGGUGCAAGCGUUAAUCGGAAUUACUGGGCGUAAAGCGCACGCAGGCGGUCUGUCAAGUCGGAUGUGAAAUCCCCGGGCUCAACCUGGGAACUGCAUUCGAAACUGGCAGGCUUGAGUCUUGUAGAGGGGGGUAGAAUUCCAGGUGUAGCGGUGAAAUGCGUAGAGAUCUGGAGGAAUACCGGUGGCGAAGGCGGCCCCCUGGACAAAGACUGACGCUCAGGUGCGAAAGCGUGGGGAGCAAACAGGAUUAGAUACCCUGGUAGUCCACGCCGUAAACGAUGUCUACUUGGAGGUUGUGCCCUUGAGGCGUGGCUUCCGGAGCUAACGCGUUAAGUAGACCGCCUGGGGAGUACGGCCGCAAGGUUAAAACUCAAAUGAAUUGACGGGGGCCCGCACAAGCGGUGGAGCAUGUGGUUUAAUUCGAUGCAACGCGAAGAACCUUACCUGGUCUUGACAUCCACAGAAGAAUCCAGAGAUGGAUUUGUGCCUUCGGGAACUGUGAGACAGGUGCUGCAUGGCUGUCGUCAGCUCGUGUUGUGAAAUGUUGGGUUAAGUCCCGCAACGAGCGCAACCCUUAUCCUUUGUUGCCAGCGGUUAGGCCGGGAACUCAAAGGAGACUGCCAGUGAUAAACUGGAGGAAGGUGGGGAUGACGUCAAGUCAUCAUGGCCCUUACGACCAGGGCUACACACGUGCUACAAUGGCGCAUACAAAGAGAAGCGACCUCGCGAGAGCAAGCGGACCUCAUAAAGUGCGUCGUAGUCCGGAUUGGAGUCUGCAACUCGACUCCAUGAAGUCGGAAUCGCUAGUAAUCGUGGAUCAGAAUGCCACGGUGAAUACGUUCCCGGGCCUUGUACACACCGCCCGUCACACCAUGGGAGUGGGUUGCAAAAGAAGUAGGUAGCUUAACCUUCGGGAGGGCGCUUACCACUUUGUGAUUCAUGACUGGGGUGAAGUCGUAACAAGGUAACCGUAGGGGAACCUGCGGUUGGAUCACCUCCUUACCUUAAAGAA
Molecule: ribosomal RNA, 1436 nt
Filed under: Salmonella enterica subsp. enterica serovar Enteritidis
Lineage: Bacteria; Pseudomonadati; Pseudomonadota; Gammaproteobacteria; Enterobacterales; Enterobacteriaceae
Description: bacterial SSU rRNA
Rfam family: Bacterial small subunit ribosomal RNA
Source: RNAcentral